AUUGAACGCUGGCGGCAUGCCUAACACAUGCAAGUCGAACGGCAGCAUGUUGUAGUGCUUGCACUGCAAUGAUGGCGAGUGGCGGACGGGUGAGUAACGCGUAGGAAUCUACCCUCAAGUUGGGGACAACCCGGGGAAACUCGGGCUAAUACCGAAUAUACUCUAUGGAGGAAAGCUGGGGACCCGGCGACAGGCCUGGCGCUAGAGGAGGAGCCUGCGUACGAUUAGCUAGUUGGUGAGGUAAAGGCUCACCAAGGCGACGAUCGUUAGCUGGUCUGAGGGGAUGACCAGCCACACUGGGACUGAGAGACGGCCCAGACUCCUACGGGAGGCAGCAGUGGGGAAUAUUGGACAAUGGGGGCAACCCUGAUCCAGCGAUGCCGCGUGUGUGAAGAAGGCCUGAGGGUUGUAAAGCACUUUAGUUGGGGAAGGGAGAGUGGAGUUUAAGAGACACUGCUUGAGACAUUAACCAAAGAAUAAGCACCGGCUAACUCCGUGCCAGCCGCCGCAGUAA
This 514-nucleotide ribosomal RNA is filed under the name uncultured bacterium. Its description in RNAcentral is "partial 16S ribosomal RNA". It matches the Rfam family "Bacterial small subunit ribosomal RNA", at positions 29 to 523 of the family's 1533-position model. The record is from RNAcentral.